RNAcentral lists this ribosomal RNA (338 nucleotides) under uncultured fungus. RNAcentral describes it as "eukaryotic LSU rRNA". The stretch from base 1 to 126 matches the Rfam family "5.8S ribosomal RNA", at positions 29 to 154 of the family's 154-position model. Lineage: Eukaryota; Fungi. The record is from RNAcentral.
UGCAUCGAUGAAGAACGCAGCGAAAUGCGAUAAGUAAUGUGAAUUGCAGAAUUCAGUGAAUCAUCGAAUCUUUGAACGCACAUUGCGCCCCCUGGCAUUCCGGGGGGCAUGCCUGUUCGAGCGUCAUUACACCACUCAAGCCUGGCUUGGUAUUGAGCGCCGCGGCCUGCCCGCGCGCUCCAAUGUCUCCGGCUGAGCCGUCCGUCUCUAAGCGUUGUGAAUAGCGAUCGCUUGCGAGGCCCGGGCGGUUCGACGCCGUUAAACCCCCCAUUUUCUAUGGUUGACCUCGGAUCAGGUAGGGAUACCCGCUGAACUUAAGCAUAUCAAUAAGCGGAGGA